UUUUGGGAAACGAUGAAAUAUAAUUUUCAUGUGGGCACUUGGAUUAUAUGGAGUUAGUAGUGCAACCGACCUGAUU
This 76-nucleotide non-coding RNA is filed under the name Clostridium cochlearium. RNAcentral describes it as "Cyclic di-GMP-II riboswitch". It matches the Rfam family "Cyclic di-GMP-II riboswitch aptamer", at positions 7 to 78 of the family's 84-position model. Lineage: Bacteria; Bacillati; Bacillota; Clostridia; Eubacteriales; Clostridiaceae. The record is from RNAcentral.